CGUGUAGGUGGUAGAUUAAGUCAGAUGUGAAAUGGCAGGGCUUAAACCUUGUCAGGUCAUUUGAUACUGGUCGACUAGAGUGCAGGAGAGGGAAGUGGAAUUUCCGGUGUAGCGGUGAAAUGCGUAGAUAUCGGAAGGAACACCAAUGGCGAAGGCAACUUCCUGGCCUGAGACUGACACUGAGGCGCGAAAGCGUGGGUAGCGAACA
Molecule: ribosomal RNA, 208 nt
Filed under: uncultured bacterium
Lineage: Bacteria
Description: partial 16S ribosomal RNA
Rfam family: Bacterial small subunit ribosomal RNA
Source: RNAcentral